Triticum aestivum (bread wheat) is the source of this 500-nucleotide long non-coding RNA. RefSeq lists it as uncharacterized. Lineage: Eukaryota; Viridiplantae; Streptophyta; Magnoliopsida; Poales; Poaceae. The record is from RefSeq and is a predicted model, not a curated record. The transcript has 3 exons.
UUUGUCCCCCCUUAUGCAUUUUUACACUUUUAUAUGUGUAGCUUUUAAUUUUUUUAAGACGUUCAUUCUUUUUUUCUAAGUCUUCAUGUGUGCAGAAUUACUUCUGCGGUGAGCCGGAGUGUGACGUCUUCUCACGGGCUACUGUCAUCAAUCAAGGUGGUCAUCGGUCGAUAUCAAGCUUGACGAGUACUUCCUGAAGGCUGAUUUCUGCUCCCGCCGCGUCGCUGACCGAGGCCCCAUCUACGUGGGAAGCUGCUAUUUUUUUGAUAGAUUGCUAGUGAGAUGCUUGGAUAGGAGAAAAGAAAUCGGAAGAGCAUGAGAGAUAGAUGUUGAGAACCUAAAUAAUGCACACACAUUUACAUAUUUCAUGUGAUGUCAUGCUUGGAGCUUUUAUCUGUAACUCUACAAUAUCAGAAAGCAUGUCUAAAGCUCAAGUUUGUAUUUGUCCAUGGUCAAGAUAAGGGGCACAUAGAGCUUGGUUUCUUAAGCUUCUUUAUAUU